This 253-nucleotide ribosomal RNA is filed under the name uncultured bacterium. RNAcentral's name for it is "partial 16S ribosomal RNA". It matches the Rfam family "Bacterial small subunit ribosomal RNA", at positions 524 to 776 of the family's 1533-position model. The record is from RNAcentral.
UACGUAGGGACCAAGCGUUGUUCGGAUUUACUGGGCGUAAAGGGCGCGUAGGCGGCCCUCUAAGUCCCGUGUGAAAGCCCCCGGCUCAACCGGGGAACUGCACGGGAAACUGGAAGGCUUGAGUUCGGGAGAGGGAAGCGGAAUUCCGGGUGUAGCGGUGAAAUGCGUAGAUAUCCGGAGGAACACCGGUGGCGAAGGCGGCUUCCUGGACCGACACUGACGCUGAUGCGCGAAAGCUAGGGGAGCAAACGGG